GAUGAACGCUGGCGGCGUGCCUAAUACAUGCAAGUCGAGCGAACAGACGAGGAGCUUACUCCUCUGACGUUAGCGGCGGACGGGUGCGUAACACGUGGAUAACCUACCUAUAAGACUGGGAUAACUUCGGGAAACCGGAGCUAAUACCGGAUAACAUGUUGAACCGCAUGGUUCAACAGUGAAAGACGGUCUUGCUGUCACUUAUAGAUGGAUCCGCGUCGCAUUAGCUAGUUGGUAAGGUAACGGCUUACCAAGGCAACGAUGCGUAGCCGACCUGAGAGGGUGAUCGGCCACACUGGAACUGAGACACGGUCCAGACUCCUACGGGAGGCAGCAGUAGGGAAUCUUCCGCAAUGGGCGAAAGCCUGACGGAGCAACGCCGCGUGAGUGAAGAAGGUCUUCGGAUCGUAAAACUCUGUUAUUAGGGAAGAACAAAUGUGUAAGUAACUAUGCACGUCUUGACGGUACCUAAUCAGAAAGCCACGGCUAACUACGUG
RNAcentral lists this ribosomal RNA (497 nucleotides) under uncultured bacterium. RNAcentral describes it as "partial 16S ribosomal RNA". It matches the Rfam family "Bacterial small subunit ribosomal RNA", at positions 28 to 507 of the family's 1533-position model. The record is from RNAcentral.